AAAGUGCAUCGGAAAACUGGGGAAACUUGAGUGCAGAAGAGGACAGUGGAACUCCAUGUGUAGCGGUGAAAUGCGUAGAUAUAUGGAAGAACACCAGUGGCGAAGGCGGCUGUCUGGUCUGUAACUGACGCUGAGGCUCGAAAAGCAUGGGUAGCAAACAGGGUUAGAUACCCUGGUAGUCCAUGCCGUAAACGAUGAGUGCUAGGUGUUGGAGGGUUUCCGCCCUUCAGUGCCGCAGCUAACGCAUUAAGCACUCCGCCUGGGGAGUACGACCGCAAGGUUGAAACUCAAAGGAAUUGACGGGGGCCCGCACAAGCGGUGGAGCAUGUGGUUUAAUUCGAAGCAACGCGAAGAACCUUACCAGGUCUUGACAUCCUUUGACCACUCUAGAGAUAGAGCUUUUCCUUCGGGGACAAAGUGACAGGUGGUGCAUGGUUGUCGUCAGCUCGU
Molecule: ribosomal RNA, 450 nt
Filed under: Lactobacillus sp.
Lineage: Bacteria; Bacillati; Bacillota; Bacilli; Lactobacillales; Lactobacillaceae
Description: bacterial SSU rRNA
Rfam family: Bacterial small subunit ribosomal RNA
Source: RNAcentral